CCUACGGGAGGCAGCAGUAGGGAAUAUUGCUCAAUGGGGGAAACCCUGAAGCAGCAACGCCGCGUGGAGGAUGAAGGUUUUAGGAUUGUAAACCCCUUUUGUGAGAGAAGAUAAUGACGGUAUCCCUCGAAUAAGCACCGGCUAACUCCGUGCCAGCAGCCGCGGCAAUACGGAGGGUGCAAGCGUUACUCGGAAUCACUGGGCGUAAAGAGUGCGCAGGCGGGCUUGUAAGUCAGAUGUGAAAUCCUGUAGUUUAACUACAGAACUGCAUUUGAAACUAUGAGUCUAGAGUGUGGGAGAGGUAGGUGGAAUGCAUGGUGUAGGGGUAAAAUGCGUAGAUAUCAAGAGGAAUACUCAUUGCGAAGGCGGCCUACUGGAACAUUACUGACGCUCAUGCACGAAAGCGUGGGGAGCAAACAGGAUUAGAUACCCGAGUAGUC
This 440-nucleotide ribosomal RNA is filed under the name uncultured bacterium. RNAcentral's name for it is "partial 16S ribosomal RNA". It matches the Rfam family "Bacterial small subunit ribosomal RNA", at positions 338 to 795 of the family's 1533-position model. The record is from RNAcentral.